AAAUACUGGUGUUUUAAGAGCUUUGUGAAAUGUUCUUAAGAGAGGACAUACUCUGGAGAAUUUCUUUAAUUGUUCAGUUUCACGGGGUUCUGGUACAGCAAGAGCUCAUGAAAUGAGCAGAGAUGCAAAGGUCCCAGCUGGGUGCAUCAGUCAUUGACUCUAUUGCCAUCCAUCCAAAAUGGAGGUUAAAUAUAAUUGGUGAUGAAAAUCAAAAAUCUUCCAUGUAAUCAUAUUAA
RNAcentral lists this long non-coding RNA (236 nucleotides) under Anas platyrhynchos platyrhynchos (common mallard). Its description in RNAcentral is "lncRNA (ENSAPLG00000027588.1)". Lineage: Eukaryota; Metazoa; Chordata; Aves; Anseriformes; Anatidae. The record is from RNAcentral.